GAUGAACGCUGUCUACAGGCUUAACACAUGCAAGUCGAGGGGAAACGACGGGGAAGCUUGCUUCCCCGGGCGUCGACCGGCGCACGGGUGAGUAACGCGUAUCCAACCUGCCUCUGACUGAGGGAUAACCCGUCGAAAGUCGGCCUAAUACCUCAUGGCAUCGUCUGCGGGCAUCCAACGACGAUUAAAGAUUUCAUCGGUCAGGGAUGGGGAUGCGUCUGAUUAGCUUGUUGGCGGGGUAACGGCCCACCAAGGCUACGAUCAGUAGGGGUUCUGAGAGGAAGGUCCCCGACAUUGGAACUGAGACACGGUCCAAACUCCUACGGGAGGCAGCAGUGAGGAAUAGUGGUCAAUGGGCGGGAGCCUGAACCAGCCAAGUAGCGUGCAGGAGGACGGCCCUAUGGGUUGUAAACUGCUUUUAUGCGGGGAUAAAGUGAGGGACGUGUCCUUCAUUGCAGGUACCGCAUGAAUAAGGACCGGCUAAUUCCGUG
Molecule: ribosomal RNA, 491 nt
Filed under: uncultured bacterium
Lineage: Bacteria
Description: partial 16S ribosomal RNA
Rfam family: Bacterial small subunit ribosomal RNA
Source: RNAcentral